This 492-nucleotide ribosomal RNA is filed under the name uncultured bacterium. RNAcentral's name for it is "partial 16S ribosomal RNA". It matches the Rfam family "Bacterial small subunit ribosomal RNA", at positions 29 to 507 of the family's 1533-position model. The record is from RNAcentral.
AGUGAACGCUGGCGGUAGGCCUAACACAUGCAAGUCGAACGGCAGCACAGUAAGAGCUUGCUCUUACGGGUGGCGAGUGGCGGACGGGUGAGGAAUACAUCGGAAUUUACUUUUUCGUGGGGGAUAACGUCGGGAAACUUACGCUAAUACCGCAUACGACCUACGGGUGAAAGCAGGGGAUCUUCGGACCUUGCGCGAUUGAAUGAGCCGAUGUCGGAUUAGCUAGUUGGCGGGGUAAAGGCCCACCAAGGCGACGAUCCGUAGCUGGUCUGAGAGGAUGAUCAGCCACACUGGAACUGAGACACGGUCCAGACUCCUACGGGAGGCAGCAGUGGGGAAUAUUGGACAAUGGGCGCAAGCCUGAUCCAGCCAUACCGCGUGGGUGAAGAAGGCCUUCGGGUUGUAAAGCACUUUUGUUGGGAAAGAAAAGCAGCAGGUUAAUACCCCGCUGUUCUGACGGUACCCAAAGAAUAAGCACCGGCUAACUUCGUG